UACGAAGGGGGCUAGCGUUGCUCGGAAUCACUGGGCGUAAAGGGUGCGUAGGCGGGUCUUUAAGUCAGGGGUGAAAUCCUGGAGCUCAACUCCAGAACUGCCUUUGAUACUGAGGAUCUUGAGUUCGGGAGAGGUGAGUGGAACUGCGAGUGUAGAGGUGAAAUUCGUAGAUAUUCGCAAGAACACCAGUGGCGAAGGCGGCUCACUGGCCCGAUACUGACGCUGAGGCACGAAAGCGUGGGGAGCAAACCGG
RNAcentral lists this ribosomal RNA (253 nucleotides) under uncultured bacterium. Its description in RNAcentral is "partial 16S ribosomal RNA". It matches the Rfam family "Bacterial small subunit ribosomal RNA", at positions 524 to 776 of the family's 1533-position model. The record is from RNAcentral.